Vigna unguiculata (cowpea) is the source of this 718-nucleotide long non-coding RNA. RefSeq lists it as uncharacterized. The record is from RefSeq and is a predicted model, not a curated record. NCBI's taxonomy places the organism in Eukaryota, Viridiplantae, Streptophyta, Magnoliopsida, Fabales, Fabaceae.
GCUCAGAAGCUUUAUCUUGAAAACAAAUCAUUUUUUCCUAUCUUCAUCUUUUUUUCUUCUCUUGCUCAUUCACAUUCCAUUCGCUUCGUAAUCACAGUGUGAGGUUGUGAUUGUCAUGAAGCCCUCUUUGAAUCCUACCGAACAAAAUUCUCUUUUAGGUUGAGGUAGAGUUCUUGCGGGCUCGAUGGCAUUUCGGGGUUCAUAGAGUUUUUGAGCGGUCCUUUGAAGCUCAGGUACAACAACUCAGGUGUAGCAGUAUUCUUUAAUACCACAAGUGAAAAAAUCACCAAGAAUCAUACAUCAAUGCCUAGAUCCAGAUAAUUGAGUCUAGAGAGCCUGUAAUUGUAUGUUUGGUAUUUUAUGAAUGUUUGAAAUAUGUUAUUUUUGUGAUGUAAUUAGUUUAACUGUUAUAUGACUACUUUCUUUACAAAUUAGCUUACCUUUUUUGUGUGCUUGUGCAAUCGUGUUUUCUCCUUUUUGCAAUGAUUACCUUUUUGGCUGUGAGUAGAUGAUGCUACAGGUUUAAAAUUUCCUCUAGUAGAUGAUGAUCCAGCUAAGGAAGAUCUUAGAACUGAUUAGGUCCUCUAUGGUGAGACAUUUGGUCUUAGAACCAACGUAUAAUGUUUUGAGGUGUAUAAAGUUAUAUUAUUAUGGUCUUAUAUUUUGGAGGACUACACUAAUAUCCUUUAUACCAUGGAUUAUCUGUUUUGAAAUUCUA